Cebus imitator (Panamanian white-faced capuchin) is the source of this 1264-nucleotide long non-coding RNA. RefSeq lists it as uncharacterized. The transcript is spliced from 3 exons. NCBI's taxonomy places the organism in Eukaryota, Metazoa, Chordata, Mammalia, Primates, Cebidae. The record is from RefSeq and is a predicted model, not a curated record.
GCUUCGUCGCCUAGACAUCAUCCAUUUCACAGGGCCACGGUGGGGAUCCAGCCCGCUGAUUGCCUCGAGGGGCGUGGGCACCCAGCGGUCCACAUGCACUCAGGGCCUGCCCAGAUAGAGUCUCAUUCUGUCUCCCAGGCUGGAGCACAGUUGCCCAUAGCUCUUUGCAGCCUCAAACUACCUUGCCUUUGUAAAGUUGCUCCUGGUGUGAGGGAAGUUCACCACUGCUCUGUCAAGGCCAGAAGCUCCAGCAGAGGCUAGGAAAGUUGCGACUUAGCAAUGCAGUGUGUCCCAAAGUGUAUUCCAGAGAACACUAGUUGCACAAGAUGACAAAGUGGUUUAUUUACAAGUAAACAGAAAAAAUAAAUGAUCAUUUUUAACACUUAAAUUUGUUAAAACUUUGGUUUAAACAAGAUUAAAUAGGUCUGAUCCCUGAAGAAUGACUCAGGACUUCCAAGACACUAAUGCCCCUGGUGAACCUCCAUGAAGAGAAUAAAAAGGGCGACACUCCUGAAAUUUAUUUUAUCACAAUGUUUUGUUUGUUUGUUUCACAAAACAUCUUUAGAGAAAGAGUAUGAUAUGCUGCUUAAGAUCAAGCACUCUGGAUGAAGACACAUUUGGGCUGGGUGUGUGGCACGUGCCUGUAGUCCCAGCUACUUGGGAGGCCAAGGUGUGAGGAUUGCUUGAGCCCAGAAGCUGCUGGCUGCAGUGAGCUAGGAUUGCACCUGUGAAGGGCCACCACACUCCAGCCUGGGAAACAUAGAGAUCUGUCUCUAAGGAAAAAUAUAAAAAGAUCUGCUUGCAUUGAAUCCCAGUUCUGCCACUUACUGGCUGUGUGUCCUUGCAAGGUUACUGGCCCUUUGUGAACCUCAGUUUUCCUGUAUGCUAACUGAGGAUAAAGGUAUUACUAUCCAACAGAGGUAUCAUGAUUAUUGAGAGCAUUCUAUGAGAUGAUGCAUGAAAAGCACCCAGUCCACUGUUGGCAUGUGGUGAAUGCCCACAGCUAGUAGCUGUUGUGUUGGGAUGAUUAUUACUAGAAUUGUCUGUAAAAUAGCAAUGACUAAUAACAAUUCUCUGUCAUUCCAGACAGUGGAAAACACAGUAGAGCAGGAUCUGUCUUUAUUCUCCUUUAGUUUGAGAAUUUGGUCUGGGACUUGGAAGGUGGCACUGGAGAGAGGAUUCUAGGGAGAAGCUGCACUCAGCACAUAAAACACGUGUUUCCAUCUCCAGAUAGAGAAUUUUCUCCUGCUCAAAGAACUCUUAG